RNAcentral lists this ribosomal RNA (712 nucleotides) under uncultured fungus. RNAcentral's name for it is "eukaryotic LSU rRNA". The stretch from base 316 to 470 matches the Rfam family "5.8S ribosomal RNA". The record is from RNAcentral. Lineage: Eukaryota; Fungi.
GUAUCCACGAUUGGAAGUAAAAGUCGUAACAAGGUUUCCGUAGGUAAGUAGUGGUUGCGUCCUUUUCCUCUGUUAAAAACAUAUGUUAACGUGAAAUUUCUAGGUGAACCUGCGGAAGGAUCAUUAACGAGUUAGGGUCUUUUCGGCCCGACCUCCCAACCCUGUGUUUACUGAACCUUUGUUGCUUCGGCGGGCCCGUCUCACGACCGUCGGGGGACCGUAAGACGUCUUCUGAUCCGUGUCCGCCGGUGGCCAAACUUAACAAACUCUGGUUAAAAUGUGUCAUGGUCUGAGUACAAUUUUUAAUUAAAGCAAAACUUUCAACAACGGAUCUCUUGGUUCUGGCAUCGAUGAAGAACGCAGCGAAAUGCGAUAAGUAAUGCGAAUUGCAGAAUUCCAGUGAGUCAUCGAAUCUUUGAACGCACAUUGCGCCCUUUGGUAUUCCGAAGGGCAUGCCUGUUCGAGCGUCAUUAUCACCCUUCAAGCCCCCGGCUUGAUGUUGGACGGUUUGGUUUUGGUGACAAGACCCCUCCUAAAAUCAAUGACGGCGGCCUGUGCGACCCCCGGUACACUGAGCUUCUUAACUGAGCACGUAUCGGUCUCAGGGUAGACAGGACCCGGUCUUCUUCCUUGACCGGAAAAUUUUUCCAAAGGUUGACCUCGGAUCAGGUAGGGAUACCCGCUGAACUUAAGCAUAUCAAUAAGCGGAGGA